UCCUGGCUCAGGAUGAACGCUAGCGGCAGGCUUAACACAUGCAAGUCGAGGGGUAUAAUUCUUCGGAAUUAGAGACCGGCGCACGGGUGCGUAACGCGUAUGCAAUCUACCUUUUACAGAGGGAUAGCCCAGAGAAAUUUGGAUUAAUACCUCAUAGCAUAGCAGCUUCGCAUGAAGCCACUAUUAAAGUCACAACGGUAAAAGAUGAGCAUGCGUCCCAUUAGCUAGAUGGUAAGGUAACGGCUUACCAUGGCAACGAUGGGUAGGGGUCCUGAGAGGGAGAUCCCCCACACUGGUACUGAGACACGGACCAGACUCCUACGGGAGGCAGCAGUGAGGAAUAUUGGACAAUGGGCGCAAGCCUGAUCCAGCCAUGCCGCGUGCAGGAUGACGGUCCUAUGGAUUGUAAACUGCUUUUGCACAGGAAGAAACAACAUUACGUGUAAUGUCUUGACGGUAUCGUGAGAAUAA
RNAcentral lists this ribosomal RNA (471 nucleotides) under Flavobacterium sp. DB4.1-9. Its description in RNAcentral is "bacterial SSU rRNA". It matches the Rfam family "Bacterial small subunit ribosomal RNA", at positions 17 to 489 of the family's 1533-position model. Lineage: Bacteria; Pseudomonadati; Bacteroidota; Flavobacteriia; Flavobacteriales; Flavobacteriaceae. The record is from RNAcentral.